Molecule: ribosomal RNA, 253 nt
Filed under: uncultured bacterium
Lineage: Bacteria
Description: partial 16S ribosomal RNA
Rfam family: Bacterial small subunit ribosomal RNA
Source: RNAcentral
UACGGAGGGAGCUAGCGUUGUUCGGAAUUACUGGGCGUAAAGCGCACGUAGGCGGCUUUUUAAGUCAGAGGUGAAAUCCCGGGGCUCAACCCCGGAACUGCCUUUGAAACUGGAGAGCUAGAAUCUUGGAGAGGCGAGUGGAGUUCCGAGUGUAGAGGUGAAAUUCGUAGAUAUUCGGAAGAACACCAGUGGCGAAGGCGACUCGCUGGACAAGUAUUGACGCUGAGGUGCGAAAGCGUGGGGAGCAAACAGG